CCUGUCUCUACUAAAAAUACAAAAUUAGCCGGUCGUAGUGGCGCUUGCCUGUAAUCCCAGCUAUGUGGGAGGCUGAGGCAGGAGAAUUGCUUGAACCCAGGAGGCAGAGGUUGCAGUGAGCUGAGAUCGAGCCACUGCACUCCAGCCUGGGUAAGAGCAAGACUCUGUCUCCAAAAACACAAAACAAAACAAAACAAAACAAAACAAAAUACAAAGGAAUGGAGUGGAGGAGGUGGCGGGGAGCAGGGGGUGGAGGGUGGGGUGGGGUUGUGGGUAGAGUGGGGCUGGGAGACUGCGAGCUCUUAGCGCCAGAGGAGGACUGAGAUUUCAGCCUCAGCUGCCCUACUUGCCCCCAUUCCCUUCUGAGCUGCACUUUCCUGGCCUCUGAAAUAAGAGUUCAUUUGUUCAAAAACAUAAAAAAAAAAAAAAACUGCCUUCAGUAUCUUGGCUCUGCCACUUCCUGGCUGUGUGGCCUUAAGCAAGUGACUUAACCUCUCUGGGCAUCAAUUUUUUUCAUUGUAAAGUGGGGAUAACCAAUAGAUCCUGCAUUUUUUUUUUUUUUUUUUUAGAUGGAGUCUCUCUGUCGCCCAGGCUGGAGUGCAGUGGCGCAAUCUCGGCUCACUGCAAGCUCCAUCUCCCGGGUUCACGCCGUUCUC
Molecule: long non-coding RNA, 656 nt
Filed under: Homo sapiens (human)
Lineage: Eukaryota; Metazoa; Chordata; Mammalia; Primates; Hominidae
Description: non-protein coding lnc-PRDX5-1:1
Source: RNAcentral